RNAcentral lists this long non-coding RNA (318 nucleotides) under Elaeis guineensis (African oil palm). Its description in RNAcentral is "long non-coding RNA (EGUI_LNC074636)". The record is from RNAcentral. Lineage: Eukaryota; Viridiplantae; Streptophyta; Magnoliopsida; Arecales; Arecaceae.
AUUCGAGAGGCGCUGGUUGCGCUUCCGAACACAAGCCCAGGAUUGGGGAUAAAUCAACGCGAGAACCGGCUCCCUCGGGGUGAUGUCGGCCGAUCCCGUCACCUUCGUGACCGGCCAACCAAAUGGAGCCCGACCCAAGACUACGUCCAUUAACACGCUAAAUUGUAUUAAAUUUGACCAAAAUUUCCACAGCGAAGAUACGCUAAAUGAAUGGAUCCCCAGAUCACGUAAGAACUGAAGGGCUAUACAAGUCAAAAUGUUGGGCGGGCAUCUUUAGUGGUGCAGUUGUUUGUUGUUUUGCAGUGAUGAAGAUUCGCA